Molecule: non-coding RNA, 224 nt
Filed under: Bacillus sp. (in: firmicutes)
Lineage: Bacteria; Bacillati; Bacillota; Bacilli; Caryophanales; Bacillaceae
Description: Bacillus sp. T-box sequence
Rfam family: T-box leader
About the family: Uncharged tRNA acts as the effector for transcription antitermination of genes in the T-box leader family.
Source: RNAcentral
CGAAAAGCAAUGAUAGGAAUUUUAUUAGUGUAGUUUUCCCUGUAACAGAGAGCUGGUGGUUGCUGCAAACCAGUACAUAGAACACAUGAAUUACGAUCCUAGAGCAUCUUCCUCGAAACGAAUUGUGAGGGGAAGACGGUGAAGAGCCGUUAUGAAAUGAAGAUAUUAGUAUCGUUUUUAAUACUAAUAAUUUAGGGUGGUACCGCGAAUAUUUCGUCCCUACU